CAGCACACACUCAUUUUGAGGGAAGACUGCAUUUUCUACAUAGAGUCCAGCCCCCAGGUCAAGCCUGGACAGACUGCAGCUUGAUGAAGUCCUGUGGUCUCUCUCAAUGCACACUAGUUUCUUUGUGACCUCCUCCCUCAGGACCUUGAAUGGGAUGCUGGACAUUCCUCAUGAGAAACCUGAGGAGGAUACUAAAGAGACAGCCACAGUUUUCCUAUGGCCUGCUGCCAAGGAGGGCCCAGCUGUUGGGGUUCUCUUUAUGCUCCUUUCCUCUAUAAGAAGAUGCGUUUCCCAAGUGGUCAUCAACCUCUGCAUUCAGUCCUUCUACUUGCUCCUUUGGAGAAGUCACUGAAUCCUGUGACUUCCAAUAAUAUCUCUGGUCCUGGCUCUGAAAGAUAUGCUAACACGUUGAAAAGGAACCCAGCGAUGAAGCUUUCUUAAGCGGAUCUGUCUGAGCCCAACCUACCGCUGCUGGACUCCUGGUGCUGGCAUUUCUACUGCUUUAUAGUGAGGAGUGUGCGAAAUAACCUCCCUGCUGAUCCUGGCUUGGCACCUGGCACCUGGCACAUGGUACCUGCACAAUGGAUCAGAGUACACGCUGCUGCAGGGUUAAGUGGCAUGCCCCCAGACCUCGGCGAGGGGGAGUCUAGAUUAGAACCCCAGUCUGCAGAUUCCCAGCAUGUCUCACACAGAAGGACCGGACUUGGAAAACCACUUCUCUGAAUGGUAAAACCCGACCAGGAGCAAGGAGCCCUGCCUCUGAGCAAGACCAUCUGAAACUCAAGUUUCCAAAUCUAUAAAAUGGGCUUGUCCUGGGACAUUGUUGUGAAGAUCCAGUAAAAUAGUGGCUACAGAGAGGUUUGGGGGUUGUACACACCUAGGGGACUGCACAGUCGCCAGAACGGCAGGCUCCUUUUUCCUGUCCCCUUCUCCUGCAGGAUGAAAGUCUAGCUGUUCUCUGGGCAGGUGGCCUUGGGGGAUUGGCCUUACUCUUCCUCCAGGAAGAAGAAAGGACACACAGAGACACAGACACACACAGAGAAGAUGGCUGUGCGACAGCAGAGGUAGAGAUCGGAGCAAUGCAGCUACAAGCCCAAGAACACCAAAAUUGCUGGCGUCUACCAGAAACUAGGAGAGAGGCAAGGAAGGACCAUUCUGCAGAGCCUACAAAGGAAGCAUGACCCUGCUGACACCAUGACUUUGGACUUGUGGCCUCCAGAAUGGGGAGGGAGUACCUUUCUGUCGUUUAAACCACCUAGUUGGAGGUAUUUGCUCUGGCGGCCUUAGGAAACUAGCACAGUACCCAACACGUUUGGUUGGCUCAAUGAAUGGUCUAACCUAUCUCCUCCUUCCUCACAGCCAUGGGAAAAGACCUGUCAACUCUGAGCUGGAAUAUUCUGGUAGUCUUCUGAUUGGUCUCCCUGUGGUAGCUAAAUAGAGUGGCACCUUGAGUUUAUGACUGCAGAUGGAUCCUGUGUUUGUUAGGCUGAUUAUCAGAGAAGUUUUUUCUCACGACCCAACUAUAAGGUUACCUGAAUCCCAGUGCUAAAAAAUGUCACCUCUGCCCUGGGUGAAGCUUUCAUGCAAGGCUCUGCUGGGGCACCUAAAAGGACAAUGAUUCAGGCUAUCACUGAGCUCACAGAGCAAGCCACAGGCCUGUUUUUGCACCUGCUUGCUAAUAAAUGAGAGUCUGCGUGGCAGAUUCUGACACCUGCUUUCAUUAUAACCUACAGAGACCCGUGGCCCGAAGACCUCAUGCAUGUACAUG
Long non-coding RNA from Equus caballus (horse), 1768 nucleotides. Lineage: Eukaryota; Metazoa; Chordata; Mammalia; Perissodactyla; Equidae. The record is from Ensembl.